Molecule: long non-coding RNA, 3456 nt
Organism: Physeter macrocephalus (sperm whale)
Lineage: Eukaryota; Metazoa; Chordata; Mammalia; Artiodactyla; Physeteridae
Exons: 3
Source: RefSeq, a predicted model, not a curated record
UGGAAAUUAUAUACUCUUUUUCUAUUCUUUUGACCCUAAAACUUAUAAUAUGUUUUCUUUACUUUUUUUAGCCCAGUAUUAAUCUUUACUUUGCCCUCUUUCUAGAAAAUGCAAAGUUCUUUUGAAAAUCACCUUUUUUUGUUUUUCUGGCUUCUUUUACAAUUUAUUUUCUGUCUUUGAUUUUCUAUGGUUUCACAUAAAGUAAAAUGCCUUUUAUUUUUUAAAAUCCUGCUUGUACUUCAUUGGGCUUCUUAUAGAUUAAUAUCUUUAAUCAAUUCUCAGAAAUUUUCAGCCAUUAUCUCUUCACAUAUUGUCUGGGUCCUUAUUCUCUCAUUCAUUUCUGGGACUCCAGUUUGAUAUAUAUAUAUUAGGCCAUCCCAGUGUAUCCUCCCUGUCUCUUGCUCUAUCUUCAAUAUUUUUUAUUUUUUAUUUUGUCUCUCCUUCCCUCAUUUGGGAUGUUUCUUUUAACCUAUCUUCCAGUCAGUCAUUCUCUCUUUAGGUGUGCCUAAUCUGCUCUAAAAUUUACCCAUAGUUUUUAUACCUUUAACUAUUCUAUUUUCUAGUUUUAUAAUUCCCAUUUGGUUAUUUUUCAAAUCUUAAAUGUCAUUUUAUGGUUUCCAGUUACUUGACAAAAUUUAUAAGCUUGACUUAUUUCCAUGAACAUAACAAGCAUAGUGGUAUAAAGACUACGUUUGUUAUCAAGUCUUUUUGUCUGUUGUUUCUGUUGGUGCUGGCUAAUUCUUGACUCUUCUUUCAUCCCAUUAUCUUUGAUUGUUUGCUAUUCAUUUUAUUUGAAAACUUAAUUAUGGAAAUAAUUUGAGGCAUUGGAUCAUGUUCUGUUCUUCCAAAGAGGAGUUUCAUUGCCUUCUUCAGGUCAUUAAGGGUUCCAAUAGUCCUGAACCCAUGCUUGAGGAUUUCUGAGUCAAACAAAUGAUUAUAGUCCAUAUCCCUACUUUUGGCCUAUGCUUCUUGGGGGUCCUGUCACAGAGUGGGGGAUGUUUCACUAGGGUUACCCUCCUUAAUGUGUAUUGGACUCAUGCCUAGAUCCAAGUGACUGCCAAAUGCUCAGUUUUUUUCUCACCUUUCUUAAGUUGCUUGUUUAUGAUUAGUACUGUUUAUGUUAAAACAACAUCUGCAACCUAAUAGUGUUCGGAGUCUAACAUCUUGGUCAGCCCAUCUCUGCUGCUUCCACCAUGAUUUUCUUCUCACCAGAAUGUGAGGCAUACAAAAUGCAGAGGUAGUUCCCAGGUAAUGCUGGAGCUUGCUCUACAAACACGAAACUAUCUGUGGCUGACGACCAAUUUGGAAUGGUAUUAAUCUUCAAAAAUAAGUUGAACAUAGCUUUAAAUCCCCAGGAUCAAAACAAGAAUUCUUGGGACAUCUCAUCCAUAAUCCAACUGGAUUAUUAUAAGAUCCAAUAAGACCUUCUUAAACAUUCCCGUAAAUGCUCUAGUUUCCUGGGUUCAGGAGAAACAUUUUACUAACAGUUUUCUUUUUAGCAUAUCAAAAUAAAAUGCUGCUUCUCUCUGAGUCUCUUGCAUUAAAUUUUUUUUAAUCUACACUGUAGGCCUUAUAUGAUUUUCCAUUAAACUACUUUGUCACAUUAUCUUCUAGACAUAGCCUUAAUGUCAUAGUAGGUGUGAACAUCUAUAUAAUUGGCUCUAAUUAGGCUGGUGAUAACCAGAACAUUCUUGUUCAUUAUCUAAAGCCAAUAAUCUUAGUACUUUCAGAGAAUCUCUUCAUUUCUUUUGAGAACAUGGGAGAAAAAUUAAUUAUAUCAUCAUUCUGUAAGAACAUGGGGGUCUGCUUAGUUCUUAAACUUCUUAUUCCUUUUCUUGAAAUCUAUCCACAGCAACAAGGAGAAUGAACAUAAGUUCAUGGAAACUGAAUUUUCAGCAAACAGCUGACUAACAAAACCCCAAGGCUCCAAAAUUACAUGUGAACACUGUAGUAGGCAACUGAGACCAGAAGCACAGUGCAGCAAGUGUACGUAGGAAUUCAAGAAAACAUUUUGGGAAAGGUAUGAGAUUGAAUAGGGUCCAAAUACCCAAGAGGGAAAGAGAGAGAAGGAUAGAAAGUGCCUAAUCAGAGAUAGCAGAUCUUAGAAAUCACCAGUAAAAUAACUUUCUAAAAGUGAUAAUAUUAUUUUGGAAGGCAAAGCCUCGAUCCCUGCAGCCUGUGAAUGAAUCAGGAAAUUGAGAACUGUGUGCAGAAGCUUUUCAGAGCCAGGUUAGGUACUGAGAGGCAGAGGAAAUGUGAUUUCACAGAGUGGCCAUAUUUUAAGGAAGUAAGUCUUUUGCUAUAGCAAUGGAGGAGAGAGCCCAGGAGAGAUUAGUUCUGUAAAGCUAUCCUAGCCCUUCUUUCCAACUCCUGAUAAUAGUCGGAAAUUCAACUCAUCCAAAUAUGAGGAUUAUGAAAAUCAUAUGCACAAUAGCUACUCAAAAAUAUGGUAAGAAAACUGUGAAACAGAAUAAAACAAUUUUCUUACAGAAGAUGAAAAUUUACUGGGAAAUUGUUACCAUAAAACAAAUGAAAUUUAUAACUCAACAUUUCAACAUGAAUUUGAAAAACUUAAUGAAAUAAUCCUAGCUAUGAAGUAAAAUCACAAAGAAGUAAUAAACAUAAGACUCAGGUAGCUGGGAGCCAGACAAUAGGUUAUUAAUGCCUACUUUUUAUAAGAAUAUAAUCAGAGAAUUGAGUAUUUUGACCUUUUGGGGAUGCGUAGUAAAGAAUUAACCUGGACUUCCCUGGUAGUGCAGUGGUUAAGAAUCUGCCUGCCAAUGCAGGGGACACGGGUUCGAUCCCUGGUCCGGGAAGAUCCCACAUUUCGCAGAGCAACUACUGAGCCAGCGCUCUAGAGCCUGUGAGCCACAACUACUGAGCCCACGUGCUGCAACUACUGAAGCCUGCGUGCCUAGAGCCCACGCUCUGCAACAAGAGAAGCCACUGCAAUGAGAAGCCCGCACACCGCAACAAAGAGUAGCCCCUGCUCACUGCAACUAGAGAAGGCCUGCGCGCAGCAACGAAGACCCAAUGCCGCCAAAAAGAAAUAAGUGAGCUGGAAAACCAGACUGCCUUUCCUUUGCCACGUGGCAGAGAACAGAGCAGAAUGUGUGCAGUCUGAGGCAGGCUGACUCCCAAGACGGACGGAGGAGGGGCUGGAAGAGGAAUACCCAGUUUCUUUCCGACUCACCAGAUAAGUCACCCCACCUCCUCAGGGCAGGAGUGAGUGAGGGAACUGAGUGAGAUAUGGAGCAUAUUUUCAGAGCUUUAUUGGCCGUUUGGAAAAACUUUUUGUGAAAUGUCUGUGCAAGUCUUUUUGAACAUUAAAAAAAUGACAUCUUUUUCUUAUUGAUUUGUAGCAGUUCCUCAUAUUUUCUGGAUAUGAGAUCUUUGUUGGGUAUAUUUGUACUGCAAAUAUCUUUUCUCCCUCUGGGGCUUGCCUUUUCACACCCG